GACGAACGCUGGCGGCGUGCUUAACACAUGCAAGUCGAACGGAAAGGCCCUGCUUUUGUGGGGUGCUCGAGUGGCGAACGGGUGAGUAACACGUGAGUAACCUGCCCUUGACUUUGGGAUAACUUCAGGAAACUGGGGCUAAUACCGGAUAGGAGCUCCUGCUGCAUGGUGGGGGUUGGAAAGUUUGGGCGGUUGGGGAUGGACGCGCGGCUUAUCAGCUUGUUGGUGGGGUAGUGGCUUACCAAGGCUUGGACGGGUAGCCGGCCUGAGAGGGUGACCGGCCACAUUGGGACUGGGAUACGGCCCAGACGCCUACGGGAGGCAGCAGUGGGGAAUAUUGGACAAUGGGCGGAAGCCUGAUGCAGCAACGCCGCGUGCGGGAUGACGGCCUUCGGGUUGUAAACCGCUUUCGCCUGUGACGAAGCGUGAGUGACGGUAAUGGGGAAAGAAGCACCGGCUAACUACGU
RNAcentral lists this ribosomal RNA (467 nucleotides) under uncultured bacterium. RNAcentral describes it as "partial 16S ribosomal RNA". It matches the Rfam family "Bacterial small subunit ribosomal RNA", at positions 28 to 506 of the family's 1533-position model. The record is from RNAcentral.